CUUCGUCACCACCACCACCAGAGACCUCAACAACUCCUUCACCUCUAACAAGACAAACCACAUCUGAACCUCUUCCAGCAGCAACAACUGCACCAUCCACACCUCUAGUAAACACAGCAGCUCCUUCUCUGUGGCCGUCUGUUCGUAUGGGGAUUGGGAUACUCUGUUUAAUCAUCAUGACCAGCAUCACUGUCACUACCUGGAGAAAAGCUCGACAGACACAGGGGCAACACACAGCGGCAACAGAAAAUGAUCCUCCAUCACACGAGAGCAGUAACUGAGCCGUGUUCAGCGUUCAUCCUCAGACAGUCUGACAGUAAAAAGUCCUCCAGCUUUCAACACUGUGACUAGUAGUCUAUAAGUGACACAGACCGUUUCAAGUAGUUUGAUUGUGGUCCUGCACAUGGCUGCACAUGCUGAUGUCUCACGCACAGUGUGGAGGAGUAACUUGUUACAUGUUAUUUAGUUACCUAAUUAAAUUACAAAAUAAAUGUAACAGUAAUCUCUUACAGUAACUGGGAAAAAAUGUGUUGUUAAAUUACAUUUACCUAUGAAAGUGUUCAUGAUUACAUUGUAAUCUGUAAAAAGCUCGGCUAUAUGUUGAAUAAUCUUCAUUUUGUUGCUUUGCAUGUUUUUCAUGUGCACAAUGUUUUGUGUAAGCGUGUAAGUAAAAUGAUGACGUAUACAUACAUUCAGUAUAACAGUGGGGUACAACAAAGACAGAAGAACUUGGAUCAAACAGCUUUGUGGAAUUUAGCUAAAGGUCCAAGUUAUCGUUCAUCAACCAUCCAACACACGAGUCAGAUCAGAAGUCAGAACCCAUCAGAGACUCUCCUCCUUCUGUAAACUGAAAUUGAACAACAUAAACCAGAAAGAAGAACAUUUUUUUUUUUUUGAAAUUUAAAAUCUCAACCAUCCAGGAAAUAAACCAAACAUCCUCAAAGUUUCUUUUUAAUGUUCAUUUUAAGUGAAUGAUAGUUUUUACAUUUGUGAACUGUCUGUGAUGUUUCCUGCUCUGUCCUCUUGUGUUUCCUCGCAGGUGUCUGGUCGACAGAGCUGGAGGACGUCCUGCACAGUUCACAGUUCUCUUUCUGCAUAGUCUUGUGUUUUUUGGCUUUGCCUUUUGUUACCUGCUUUCAUUCAGCUGGUGUGACAAUGAGAGAUAUUAUAUUAUUGAAGUAACACAUUCAGAGGAUUCUGUGCUUUCCAGUUAUUACAUGUGUUUUUGCUUGGUACCUCACUGCUCACAAUGCUCUUAACUUAACCCACAGAAAUUAAUUUCCUCUUCAUUCCUUAUUUCAAUUUUUGAGAACCUAUUAAGUACAAAUGAACUCAGAGUUUAGUAGUGCUUUGUGUUUAUGUAUUCACAUUGUUCUUAGCGCCACAUGAGCUUUGUAACGUCUCCUUUUUUAAAAUCUGUAUUCCGCUGAAAUGAGUGCAAAACA
This is a long non-coding RNA of Micropterus dolomieu (smallmouth bass), 1445 nucleotides long. RefSeq lists it as uncharacterized. The transcript is spliced from 3 exons. NCBI's taxonomy places the organism in Eukaryota, Metazoa, Chordata, Actinopteri, Centrarchiformes, Centrarchidae. The record is from RefSeq and is a predicted model, not a curated record.